Molecule: non-coding RNA, 72 nt
Organism: Mucilaginibacter polytrichastri
Lineage: Bacteria; Pseudomonadati; Bacteroidota; Sphingobacteriia; Sphingobacteriales; Sphingobacteriaceae
Source: Rfam
GGUAGGGUGGCCGAGUGGUUAGGCGGGGGUCUGCAAAACCUUUUACGGCGGUUCGAAUCCGCCCCCAUACCU